AUUGAUGUAUUCAACGAGUCUAUAGCCUUAGCCAACAAGCCUGGGUAAUCUUUGAAAUUUCAUCGUGAUGGUGAUAGAUCAUUGCAAUUGUUGGUCUUCAAC
Molecule: ribosomal RNA, 102 nt
Organism: Vigna angularis (adzuki bean)
Lineage: Eukaryota; Viridiplantae; Streptophyta; Magnoliopsida; Fabales; Fabaceae
Rfam family: Eukaryotic small subunit ribosomal RNA
Source: Rfam